CUCAUCUUUUUGAGACAUUCCCUGAAAAAAGAUCAUAUGAACGAGACAAUAUUCAGAGUUAGCAGAACAUUUCUUAAUGUAAUCGAUGAAGACAAAUUUUGUGAUAUGUGAAGCCUACUCACUAGUAUACCAUGUCUUUUAGCUAUGGAUAAAUUUCUAUCUUGUAGCCAUAUUGUUUGAACCCCAUCUCAUUCACAAGACUAGAGAUAUGCUUAAGAAUGAUGGUUGGAUAGACUUUUUACUUCAAUAUUUGAAGAUAUCUUCACACUCAAAUUGAUCAAUGGAUCCCACAUAACUUAUAGUACUAUUGUCAUAGUGCAGUUGAGAGAUAUGGGAAAAAGAUAGAUCACCAUUGGUUAGAACAAUAGAACAUAAUCAUUCAUAUGCUGAUACACAAGUCAUAUGAAGUGGUUGUCUACAGGCUAAAAGAGUGUUAAGAGAAGUCUAUGGUAUGGAACUAAUGUAUAACACUCACACUUGCUACCUCUAAAUGUCCAAGCAACCCCAAAUCUCUAUUGCAGAGAAGAAAUUCAAAAUCCAUGGUAAUGAUAUGCAAGACCUUUUUUCAUCAAGGAUGGAUAAUAGUGUUGAGCUUCAUUAAAUUGUUCUUAUUUAUAGGCACAAAUUCUCAUGUUUUUCUUAGAUUGUUCAAUCAAUAUAGAACCCCAUAAUUGUCACUAGCAUAUGUUUGAAAGAUAAACUAUCUGUUAUCAGGAAUCAUUAAAAGAAGAAGUGAUUGACAAUUCAUCGUUGAUUCAUUUAAGGUUUUGUUGCUUCUACCGACCAUGUUAAAAAUUAAAAAUCCUUUCUUUAGAUACUUUGAAAUCUAACUUGUUAGCUUUGUAAGAUUCUAAAUAUGAUAUGCUGCAUAGUUGAUUCCCAAAAACUAUUGAAUUUGCUUUCUAUUUGAUAAACUCAUCAAUUAUACGUAUAAGAGAAUAAUAUAAGACUCAAUGGUUCUAAGGCUCGAUGAUCUACACACUACUAAGAAGUUCGUUUUAUAGGUACUAAGGGAAUCUCCUUUUACAAUGCACACCAUUACAUAUUAUCUUAAAGGAAUCUUAUUUUAUGAAUCACCACUACUUUAAGUUAUAUCUUUAUCACUAAGGAAUCCGCUUUACAAAUAAUCACACUAAUCAUUAAGUAUUAUAUAUGACUUCACACACUUGUCACUUAUUUAUUGAAAACUAUUCACCGUCAUUUCUGCUGGUACAAUCCAUUAUUGCCUUCGCCUAAUCUGAACUGUUAUCUAAGUCACUCCAUGCAGGGUUUCCUUUGUGGACAUAUUCUUCUUACGCUGCAAAUCUUUAAUCAAAUUCUUCAUCGGUGUCUAUACUCUCCAAUGAAGAACAUUACUAUUUGGAUUGUUUGGGUCGUCAUGGUGAUCAAUGACCUUUUUAAAGAUUAAAUAUUUAAUUUCAUGUACUAAGCAAGAGAUAAAAAAAAAAAUUGAAAGAUUGUAUAUGAAGGAGAUUCCCUCCAUAUACCAUCUUUCUAGUAGCUUUCCACUGCUUAAUGCCAUUAAGAAAACUAUUAUAAGUCCAGAAAGAAAAUUUGUCACAAUAUUCGAUUCUUCUUUUAUGUGUUUUACUUCAAAUUUAAAUGAUGAGAGGGAUUCAAACUCCCUUGCUAGUUGUGUGUCUGGAAUUUCUCUUCUUCUUUUUUUCUCUUAAACAACCAAUGAAGGUAUUUGUAAUAUGUUUUUCUUACAAAUCGAGUGUGAGAGAAAAAGAAUUGGAAUUUCUUGAUGCCUUUGAUAAUUGUUUAGACUUUUUUUUUAGAUGACGGGUGGUGAUGUUGAGUUUCACUGCAUUGGCUUGAUAUAUAUCCACAAAUUCUCAUGUUUCCAUUGGAUUCUUCAAUCAAUAUCGUUCUCUAAUAAUGGUUACUAGCAUCUGUCCGAAGGAUAAGCUGUCUUUUGUUAGGAAUCUUUAGCGAUAGAAAUGAUUGACAUUUUAACUUUAAUUCUUUUAAAGCCUUUGUCGCUUCUGCCAACCAUGAUAAAGAUCCUUUCUUUAAAUGCUUCGAGAUUUGGCUUGUUAGCUUUAAAAGAUUUUAGAUAUGAUCUGUUGCAUAACUAAUAAUACUAAAACAUUGUUAGAUAUGCUUCCUACUUGACAAUUCAUCAAGGAAUUAAGAUAUUUUCUUUGCAAUGUGUGGCUGUAGAAUGAUGUGUUCGUCUUUGAUGUGAAGUGCUAAAAAAAUAAUUUCUUCAAGGCCAAUCUUCAUCUUUGAUUCUGAUAACGCCAAACCAUACUUGUACGUCAGUUCUUUGAAUUUCAAAAGAUGUUCAACUUGUUCUUCUUCAUUGAUACUGAAAAUUACAGCAUCACCAAUGUAUAAUAGGCAAAAAUCUGAGAUGGGCUUGUAGACUUCAUCCAUUCUGUGCUGAAAUUCUAACGAAGCAUUCUUCAGUUCAAAUGGCAUAACAUUUUAUUUGUAAUGUCCAUGUGCCAUCACAAAUGUUGUUUUAUGUCUACCCUCAUCUUUUAUAUUAAUCUACCAAAAUCUUGACUUCACAUCAAACUUGGAAUAAAUUUUAGCAGAUGCUAUCUUUUUCAAAAGAUGAGUUCUUCUAAAUAUAUGAUAUCUAAUGUCUCAUAAGCAAUCAUUCAACUUCUUCUAGUCGAUGACAAAUCUCUUUUUUCUACGGACUUGUUCUAAACACUUAUUCAUAUAGAAUGCCGAGUUGGCGAUACAAUAACCAUAUGUUUAACAAGCAGAAGAAUGGGGAAGCACGAGUACAUCUUCCUCAUGCUCCAAUGGUAAAGACAAUUUGGAACAUUGAUAACAUCAAACCAAAAGAAAGAAACAAAUGCAAGAAUGAUACAAAGGAGAAUGUCAAAGAGCUCCACAACUUACAAAUAGAGCUGCCAUGCUUAGGCUUGUAGCAGACUUUAUUGGAUCAUUGAGAAGAUGGAGGACAAAUACUCUGACAUGAAUGCAAAAUGAGUACUUGUUAAAUAUAAAAAAAAAACAUGUGGUGCUAUUUUGGAUAACCUAACUCUAGAUUUUAUGGGAACUAGAGUAAGUAAAACUGAAAUAGUAGAAAAACAAUUUCUUCAAAGACUACUAUAUUGCAAGUACGUCUCUAUUUCCUUUUCAACAAACUAACAGACAAUUAAGAGAAUGUUCAUUCUCAAUAUGCCAGGUAUAGUAGCAAAAAUGCUUGAAGCAAAGUUUAAAACUGAAGGUCUCAUAAAUUUAUCAAAUUUCAACUUUGCAAAACUUUACCAAAUGACAAUAGAAUUGACUCAAAAUCAUUACAGAAAUCAAAAGCUGAAGAAGCACAUAAAGAAAACUUCUUCAUCCAAAUAUUGCAAUGAAAAGCCUAACAAGUAUAUAUGUCACGACUCAAGAACUUCAUGGAAUCAUGUGGUUGCCAAAGAAAAAUCCAUUGCAAGAAGAAAAAAAUAUUGGAAGCCAUAAAAAGGCAAAAAAAAAUAGUUUGUAAAAAAAAAAUUGAAGUUUCCAAAGAAAUCAGGGAAGUGUUUCAUUUGUGGCAAGAAAGGACAUUAUGUAAAGUGGUGCAAAUUAAAGAAAAUAGCUCCUUUGAAACUUUUGCAAGUGAUUGAAGAUAUGAACUGUCAUAAUGAAUAUUAUACAUGGUUUAAUAUGCCAACACAAGUUAGUUUUGCAGCAAUUGACUUGCAAUCUCAAGAGUCUGAUGCAACCAUGAAUCGAAUGAUUCCGAACCAUCUUCAGAAGAUGAACAAGUCUUUAUACUUUUUGAAGAACAGCAUGUUGAUCUUAUAAAGAAAUCAGGACCAACAUUUAGACCUUAUAUGAAAGUCAUUCUUCAACUCUCGAAUAGUAAACAAAUUGCACUCACUGCCUUAAUUGAUACCGAAGGAAUCUCGUCAAUUAUCCAUAGAAGCUGCCUACCUAGAAGAUACCAUAUGCCAACACAAGCUAGUUUUGCAGUUGCCAAUGUAGACCAAUUCUAUAGCCAUAAGUACACCAAGCCUAUUGAAAUUUUGCCUUUUGGCAAAAAAAUAUAAUUUCUUUGCUCAUGACCAAAUAGUAGAAGAUUUACUACUUGGGAAAGAAUUUUUUAGCCUCAUUGCUCCAUUUACAUUCCAUCCCAAAGGAUUUGGCUACAUAUCAAUCUUAUUGACAACAAGCCUUAUCUCUUUAUGAUACCAUGGGUUGAACAAUAAACCCUCUUUGGGAAGGGUAACAAAGGUAAAAUUCAAAAAGCUUUGGUUUAGAAAUUUAAAUUUCAACACAAAAAACUCCUACAAUGUGUGCAGAUAUUCUAAAUAAAUUAUGAUAUAGAGAAAAAUACUUUGUUUCACUACCAUACGAAGAAUGACGGGUUAUGUCACAUUAAACAGUCUCACAUCCAGGAAUUCCACAUGAUGAAGAACUAUACAAACAAGAAAUUCAAUUAUCAUUGAACCUCAAGCUUAUCAGGCUAUCCAGGUCUCAUUAGACCAGCCCAGCAUUUUAUGUGAAUAAGUAUUUAAAACAAGUAUGUGGAAAAAAAAAUAUUGGUCAUCGACUACAGGAAACUAAAUGAUUCCCUACAAGACAUUAGGUAUCCUAUAUAUAGAAGAACUCAUCUUUUGAAAAAGAUCGUGUAUGCUAAAAUCUAUUCUUAGUUUGAUAUGAAGGCAAUAUUUUGGCAGAUUGUGAUAAAAUAUGAGGAUAAGCGUAAAACAACAUUUGUAGUGCCAUAUAGAUAUUAUGAAUGAAAUGUUAUGCCAUUCAGACUAAAUAAUGCUCUAUUAGAAUUUCAGCACAGAAUUGAUGAAAUCUAUAAACUCAUCUUAGAUUUCUUCCUAGUAUAUAUUGAUGAUGCUUUAAUUUUCAGCAACAAUAAAAAAGAACACGUUGAACAUCUUUUCAAAUUCAAAGAACUGACAUACAUAAAUUGUUUGGCGUUAUCAGAAUCAAUUAUGAAGAUUGCCCUUAAAGAAAUUGGUUUUUCGGAACUUCACAUGAAAGACGGAAAUAUUGCAAAGAAAAUAUAUCAAUUUCCUAAUGAAUUAUCAAGUAGGAAGCAGAUCCAAUAAUUUUUUGGUUUUAUUAGUUAGACAGCAGAUCAUAUCCAAAAUCUUUCAAAGCUGACAAGCUAGAUUUAGAAGUAUCUAAAGAAAUGAACUUUAACAUGGUCAACAAAAGCAACAAAAACUUUAAAAGAAUUAAAGUUAAAAUGUCAAUCACUCCACCAUUAAAGAUUUCUAACAAAGGACAAUUUAUCAUCCAAACAGAUGCUAGUGAUAAUUAUUGCCAAUCACUCUUAAACUCCUCAAUAGAUACUAAUUAACUCAUAGUACUAUUGUCAUAGUACAGUUGACAGAUGUCUAGGGAAGGAACAAACCGCCAUUCAUAUGAUUUGUAAAACAUGACCACAAAAAUAAUGACACUGAUUCAAUGUGCCAUGAUUGUCUUAACGCCAAGAAAGCAUUAGCAGAGAUAUAUGACACUGAACCAAUGUACAAUACUCACAAUCAUCUUUCCUCACAAAUUCAGUCAACACCAGAUCUCCAUUUUAGAUACAAGAUAAAAAAAAUGCUCCUCUACAUAGAGACGAUGAAUCUAAAAUCGAAAUGAAGAAAAAAUAUGCUAAUUGGCUCAGUAAACAUGAUAGAUCACAAGAUAUCCAUCUAUGAGAACCUCAUCAGAUAAAAGAUUUAGAAGACCAGUUUGCAGAACUAGAUAACUGGCUAAAUUAUAAUGAGUGGCCGCAACCAGAGCAGCUACCACAAGAUGUUCCCCCUGCCUGAACCUAUGAAUAAUGAAGAAUUUGAUCAAAGAUUUACAACAUGGGAAAAAGAUUGUCCACAAGCAAAACCAUACAUUGAGUGACCCAAAUAGCAGUUCAGAUUAGGCGGAAGCAGUAAUUGACCGUACCAGCAGAAGCGAUGGUGAAUAAUUAUCAAUAAAUAAGUGACAAAUGUGUGAAGUCACAUAUAGUACUUAAUAAGUAGUGUGAUUAUCUAUAAAGUAGAUUCCUUAGAAAUAAGGAUAUAAUAUAAAAUAAUAGUGAGUCAUAAAGUAAAAUUCCUUUAAGAUAAAAUGUAAUGAUAUGAGUUGUAUAUAUUUCCAAUUAAAUUUUCAUCAACCAUGAGAUUCCAAUACAUGAUAAAAGGCGGCAUUGCUUUCCAUUGACAUUUGACUUAAAAAUAAUUAGACUAUUAUUAAAAACUACAUUACAUAACAGUUUUCAGGUGUAAAAGUGUUUUGCAUUCACAAUCAAUUAAAUUCAAGUAAUAAAAAAGAAAAUGAGUUAGUUUAAUAAAAUGUCUCAAGAAAGUAUACCAAAACUAAGCCAAAAUACUUCAGUCCAUAAUGUCCAUAUUAAAACUAAACAAUAUGUCUUGAAGCAUAAUAUCCUCAUAAUAUAUAAAAUGUUGUAUCCAAUCAAAUGUGUAUACAAUAUAUGGUAUAUGUUAUACACAUGCAUAAUAACAAAAUAUGAGUAAUACAUAAUCUCAUUUAAGUUGCAACUUAUAAUACAAACCAGAACUCCUACCGACUUAGCAAAUAAAAGAGGAUUCUAACAAUCCCAUAUGAGUCACAUGUUCCCUUAACACUUUUGGAGUUAAAGCUUUAGCAAGUAGAUUGGCUAACAUGAGUUCUAUAGGUAUGUACUCUAUUGAUAUAUAAGAUAAAGCAAUUUGCUCUUCUAUAAAUAAGUAUUUAACAUUAAUAUGCUUGAAGCAUAAAGAAGUCCCAGUAUCGUGAUAGAAAGAAAUAGCUCCAGAAUUAUCAUAGUAUAUUUUCAAUGGCCUCUAUACAUUCAACAAAAAAUCUAGCCUUGUGAUAAAAUUAUGUAUCCAUAAAGGUUGAAGUAUAGCCUCAAAACAUGCUAAUAUCCUGCCUCCAUAGUUGAAGAAGUUAUGAGUGUUUGUUUGGCACAUUUCCAUGAUAUGACUUCUCUUAAUAUCAUAAAGAUGUAACCAGAUGUAAAUUUCUUAUCUUCCAAACAUCCUGCUAAAUCAGUAUCAGAAUACCUAACUAUAUUCAAAUAGUUGUAUUGUUGAUACGUCAACGGAAAAUCUUUGAUGGCUUGCAAAUAUCUGAGCACUUUUUUUGUAACCUUCUAAUGUUCAUAUCUAGAAUUGCUCAAGUAUCUCUCAAGUACUCCAAUCGAAAGCAAUAUUAAGGCGAGUACAGACUUGAGCAUACAUCAGGCUACCCAUAACUUAUGCAUACAUGAUUGUUUGCAUUCUACAUUUAUCUAUAUCAUCAACUGGACAUUGAGACUUAGAAAGUUUGUCACCCUUUGAAUUAGUGCUUUUGUAGGAGCACAAAACUCAGAAUACGAUCAAUAUAGGACUUUUGAAACAAUCUUAGAACUGAUUUGGAUCUGUCACCAGGAAUCUUUAUCCUUAAUAUAUAAUAGGCUUCAGCAAAAUCCUUCGUAUCAAAAUUAUAUGACAACAUCUAUUUUGUCCUUAAGCAAGAUAUCAGUGUCAUUAGCGGUGAGCAAUAUGUUAUUUACAUAAAGCACCAAAUUGAUAUAUAUGCUCCCAUUAACCCUCACGUAUAUACAUUCAUCAAUAAUGUUCCUCUUGGAAUCCAUAAGAGAUGGCAAACUCAUAAAAUUUCAAGUACUGCUGUAUGGAUGCCUAUUUAAAUCCAUAAAUGGACCUUUUAAGCUUACCACCAUGUUUUCUUUACCAGGCUCAACAAAAUCAUCAGGUUACACCAUGUACACGUCUUCAAACAAAAUUCCAUUAAAAAAGCAAAAUUUACAUCCAUCUGAUGCAGUUUUAUAUUAGAAUGAGCUAUUAAUGUCAUUAUAAUUUGGAAUGAGUCCAUUAUAAAAACAAGAGAGUAGGUUUCUGUGUAAUCAAUACCUUCUCUCUAAUUGAAUCCCUUAGCCACAAGCCUAGUUGUAUCUUCCUACUUGACCUUUGGCAUUUCUCUUGGUUUUGAAAACUCAUUUGCAACCAAUUGGUUUACAUCCAUCUAGCAAUUCAACUAAAUACCAAGCCCCCUUGUGGUACAUAUAUGUCAUUUCAUCAUAUAUUACGUGUCCAAGAUGAGGAUUUUGAACAACUGAUGGCCUCCUUAAAGGUAACAGGAGCAAAUGAUAAGUCAUCAUCAAAAUCAUGUUUUUUUUAAAUAAACCACAUAAUCAUAAAAAAUUGCAGGUCUCCUAACCCUCUCGGAUCUCCUCAAUUGCACAUUAGCAACAUCAUCCUCUACAGCCAUAGGCUCCAAAUCAUGAUGAGUUUUAGAAUUAACAAAAGAAACAUCAAUAUGUGGUAAUCUCAGUGCAGAGAUCGAAAAAGAUAUGACAGGCAAAACCACAUAUACUUCUCUCAAUAUAAGAUUGUGAGCUCAGAACUUCCACUAUUAUGAUCAUCUUCAAAAUAAAUGGCAUGAUUAAGCUCAAUGAUUCUAGUAGUGUGGGAAAGACAAUAAAAUCUAAAACCCCUUGAGUUUAUUCAACAACCAAUAUAAUGACCACUGAUAGUUUUCGAAUUAAGUUUCUGUGAUUGCAGAUUAUAACGCCUCACUUUUGCUCUACAUCCCCAGAUAUUGAAAAGAAGAAGACUCAGCUUCUUGCCUAACUCUAAUUCAUAAGGAGUUUUGAGCACUAACUUGCUGGAUACAUGAUUCAAAAUGUAAGUUGCGGCUCUUAAGGCUUAGCAUACACCACACCAUGUUAAGAAGGGUACGAUCUCUUUUUUCUGCAAUUCUAUUCUGUUCAAGAGUCACAGGCAUUAUGUACUGAGCUUAUUUUCUAUAUUCCAUAAGAUAUCUAACUAAAGAUCUAGGAUUACACAAAGUUUCAUCAUAUCGCCCAUAGUACUCACCAUCUUUGUCUGAUCUUACUACUUUAAUUUUCCUGUCCUUUUGGAAUUCAAAAUUAACCUUAAAAUCUUGAAAAGCAUAUAAGAAUUUAGACUUUUCAGAAAAAAGUUCAACAUGACUAUCAUAGGAAAAGUCAUCGAUGAACAUGAUGAAGUAUUUAUAACCUCCAAUAGUGACAAGAGUAAACUGCGCACAAAUGUUUGUAUAUGUCAACUCCAAAACCUGUUGACUUUUUUGAGUCCUCUCUUUUUUGUUUUGUUAGUAAGUUUGCCCUUGACACAAUCAACAGAAGUGUCAAAAUCAGAGAAGUCUAGAUUAUGGAGAAUAUAAUCUUUCAUGGGCCUUUCCAUCCUCUAUUUGGAAAUGUGACCUAAUUGUUUAUGUCACAACAUAAAGGAAUUUUCACCAACCCUCACACGAUUAGAGCUAACAACAUUCAUAACAUGAGCAUUGGACGAUGAUUUAGUAGGAGGAAAUAAAUUAAUUAUAUACAAGUCAUCAUAUAAAAUGCCAGAACCAACUAGCUCCGAAUUGCAGAAUAAGUAAAUUUUCUUGUCACUAAAAUGAAAAGUAUAACCACAUUUAUCCAAAAUAGUUAUAGCUAUCAAGUUUCUCCUAAUAUAAGGAAUAUAAGUAGUAUAUAAUAUAUUCAAAAAUUGCUUGUUGCUGGAUAUAAUAUCACAACUAUUAUGCUUUCAACUCUAGCUUUCACUCUAUUGUUUAUGAAUUCCAACCACUAAGUAUUAGAAGGAACAUUGGUAAUGUUAGAUUUAAAGCUCGCAAAAGCUACAUGAAUACCUUUCUUUUCUAGCUAGCUUUGAAUCUCCUGCAUGCAUCUUUCUUUUGCCCAAAUUUCCUAUAAAAAUGGCACUUUUCUUUAAGGCCUUCAGAAGCAUAACAAGAAGUGAUGUUAGAAUUACCACUUGAAGCUUUCUUUCCAAACUUUUACUUCUCCUUAAAAGGCUUGUUACUGCCCUUUGAAAUGCUUUUCUUCACACUUUCACUCUUUUAAGUAUUAGCCAUCAUGGUAGUGUGAGAUUUGCCUUUCUUCAAUGAUUCUUCUUCAUGUACCACAUGAGCAAUUAACUCAUUGAUCUUCCAAGUGUCUCUCUGGGUAUUGUAUUGCCUUCUCAGAUUGCCAAACUGUGGUGGAAGAGAUUCAAGAACUUGGUAGACUAAGUAGUCAUCAAGCAAGUUAACAUCCAUGUCUUUCAACUUCUUAUAGUAACUAGUCAUCUUAAGAAUGUGUUCUCUCACCCUAGAAACAUUAUCAUAAUGGGCAUUGGCAAGCAACCUUAAAUAGUUACAAUUUUCAACCUUGUUUACCUUCUUGAAAUUUCUUCCAACAACUAUCAAGUAAUCUUUAACAUUCUCACAUGCAGAAAUGUUAUCUCUAAUUGUUCUAUCAAUGAUGUAUCUCAUUGUGCCCAGAUAGUGUCUAUUAGAAUCAUCCUAAGCCAUCCAUUCUGCCCUUUCGGCAACAGUGCUCUUAUAUGUGGGCUUGAAUGGUUCCUCCGCUCUCAACGCCAAGUCUUUGUUCAAUAUAGAUAGGUAAAACAUAAUAGACUCACACUAGUCCUCAUAGUUUGUCCCAAUUAGAAUUUUGAUGGAGGCAACUUGAAGAAAAGAAAGAAUAUUUAGAGUUGAGGAAUCAAAAACAAGUAAUAUUAAACACGUGAAAACAAAAUCAUGCUUUAGACAAUGAUUCCUCAUUCUAAGUUUCUUCAAUGACAACACAAUUUGUUAGGUAUCCUUUAAUAAUAUAGAAGUGUUCUAACCCAAAGAUGAAGCAGAUAAGUAAAAUAUAACAUUAACAUUGACCUAUCACCGACAGAGUAAUUAAGUCAUUCAGUAAAGAAUACCCAACAAAUCUCUUUGUCUAUCCAAGCGUCCUACUAAGUUUAUCAUGAUUGAUCCUACGACAAGUAGACAACACUUGCUCUAAAUUGAAGUUUGGCCAUAAAUAUACUUUUAUACAUUAAUAAAUUUGAGACUAAAUAUAUUUUAUACAACACAAUUAAAGUUUUCACUAAGAUAUCAAAUUAAAUAAAAUAUCUAUAUGCCUCAACAAAAUAUAUGAAUAUCAUGCCUAUAACACAAAAGAAUGACGGAUUAUUGUAUAUUAAAAUUUCUAGAAAAUCACAAAAAAUUGUAAAAGUUUUAGACUAAAAUAAAGAAUUUUCUGAACUAAAAAAACUUUUUUUAAUACUAAAACUUUUGGCCCAAAUUGUAAAUAAAAUGAAAAAGUAUCCAGGCCACAACAUAAUUUUCAAAACAUUAGAAACACAAUGAUAUUUUGCCAUAUUUGGAAAUGAUGACUUUCGGCCAAGGACCUUUCUGAAAGAUUUACAAACAUAUUGAGCGACAACAAAAUUUCUGUAGGUAAAUAUUUCCUCAAAAUUGGGCCAUAAAAAAAUUUACAUAAAUAUAAGGAUCCGACGAUAAUUUCACUGUACUUUAUCUUCUUCCUCACGAUGGAGCUCCAGUUAUCUACAAUAAGCUACAGUGAACUUUGUUCCAACAACCCAAUAUUGGCCACCAAAAAUUAUGAAAAAAUCAUAUGUUUACUCCACAAACAUCACCCACAUAUUAUUUAACAACCAUUUACUCAAAUAUGCCCAAAAUUAAAAAAUCCGAUAAAGAAAAAUGUCAUGGGUGAGCCAAAGUUUGAUUCAUCAACAAAAUUCGUCAUGGUUUACAAAGAAAUGUAUAACCAUAAACUCUUAUACCAAUUACUGUAAUAAAUUUGAGUUUUAUGUCCUUAAUCUUGCAUUUCUAAUUAAACACAUGCAUUGAGUAAAAAUUCAAAAUUUACCUUGAUUAGCCAUGAAUCUGAGCUUGUGGACUUGUUAUGAAGAUUCUACAGGUUGCCACUAACUGAAUCCAAACCAUUGCAACUUGUUGCCUUUCCUCAACCCAUGAUAUGAAUGAUUUGCACAGCCACUGCACACACACAAACGGCAGAGAACGAGAGACACUCAUAGCCCAUAUCUAUGAACAGUAAACUUCAAACAGGUUCCAAUCACUUAAGUUUUGUAACCGAAGCUCUCGCAUGUUAAUACAAAAUUACUCAUUUAAUUAUGAGUUAAAAUAAUAUA
RNAcentral lists this long non-coding RNA (11873 nucleotides) under Citrus x clementina. RNAcentral describes it as "Citrus clementina (C. clementina) long non-coding RNA (CCLE_LNC004000)". Lineage: Eukaryota; Viridiplantae; Streptophyta; Magnoliopsida; Sapindales; Rutaceae. The record is from RNAcentral.